RNAcentral lists this ribosomal RNA (429 nucleotides) under bacterium. Its description in RNAcentral is "partial 16S ribosomal RNA". It matches the Rfam family "Bacterial small subunit ribosomal RNA", at positions 355 to 776 of the family's 1533-position model. The record is from RNAcentral.
UAGGGAAUCUUCGGCAAUGGGGGCAACCCUGACCGAGCAACGCCGCGUGAGUGAAGAAGGUUUUCGGAUCGUAAAGCUCUGUUGUAAGAGAAGAACGUGUGUGAGAGUGGAAAGUUCACACAGUGACGGUAACUUACCAGAAAGGGACGGCCAACUACGUGCCAGCAGCCGCGGUAAUACGUAGGUCCCGAGCGUUGUCCGGAUUUAUUGGGCGUAAAGCGAGCGCAGGCGGUUUAAUAAGUCUGAAGUUAAAGGCAGUGGCUUAACCAUUGUUCGCUUUGGAAACUGUUAAACUUGAGUGCAGAAGGGGAGAGUGGAAUUCCAUGUGUAGCGGUGAAAUGCGUAGAUAUAUGGAGGAACACCGGUGGCGAAAGCGGCUCUCUGGUCUGUAACUGACGCUGAGGCUCGAAAGCGUGGGGAGCAAACAGG